GGAUAUAGGGCAAUCUGACUGUGAUAACUGACCCCAUUGAGUCAGCUGAUUUGGCUGGUUGGUUGGGUGUUACCUUUCUCCCUUGCUACUCCAUGUGUGGUCCUCCCCAAGCUGCACCCUUGGUGGAAGAGGAUGGCCAUUCCCAAUAUAGGAGGACCAUUCUUUGGUCAAUGGCAUACGACUACCUGUGCUCCCUUGCUAGAUCCUCCAAAUAAGCUAUUUUGUUUAUUUUAAAGUUUCUACUUUAAAAUUUUGAGAAAGCAGGAAAAAUUUGGCUUACCAAGCAAUCAAAAGUUUAUGUAAAUUUUACAUCAGAAAAAUUCAGUAA
RNAcentral lists this small nuclear RNA (328 nucleotides) under Castor canadensis (American beaver). RNAcentral describes it as "7SK RNA (ENSCCNG00000000299.1)". It matches the Rfam family "7SK RNA". Rfam says of the family: 7SK was discovered as an abundant small nuclear RNA in the mid-70s but a possible function has only recently been suggested. Two independent studies have found that 7SK RNA binds the CDK9/cyclin T complex (known as elongation factor P-TEFb). Lineage: Eukaryota; Metazoa; Chordata; Mammalia; Rodentia; Castoridae. The record is from RNAcentral.